RNAcentral lists this ribosomal RNA (522 nucleotides) under Punctelia appalachensis. RNAcentral describes it as "SSU rRNA". It matches the Rfam family "Bacterial small subunit ribosomal RNA", at positions 378 to 909 of the family's 1533-position model. The record is from RNAcentral. Lineage: Eukaryota; Fungi; Ascomycota; Lecanoromycetes; Lecanorales; Parmeliaceae.
CUAUCUACNUGCACCAUUCUACAGAUGAUGCAAGAUCGCACUAUGUCGAAUAAAAUUCUAGGUAGAAUUAUGAUAAUGACAUUGUCUGCCUAUGUGUCUUGACCAAAUUACGUGCCAGCAGUCGCGGUAAUACGUAGAAGACUAGUGUUAUUCAUGUUUAAUCGGUUUAAAGGGUACCUAGACGGUGAAUCAAGCUUUUGCAUGUAAAUUAUGCUAAUUAAAGGACUAGUUUGCUAGAGUUACUUACGAGGGGGUAUUAAAGUACUGCUGGUGUAGAGAUGAAAUUCUGUCAUACCUCUUUUCGAAAGAAAAAUCAUGGCACAGGUAUAGGCGAAGGCAUCCCCUUAUGUGAUAACUGACGUUGAGGGACGAAGGCCUUGUGUAACAAACAGGAUUAGAUACCCUAGUAGUUGAAGCAGAAAAUGAUGAAUGUCAUAGAUUAGAUAUAUAAGUUUAUUCUAUAAAUGAAAGUGUAAGNAUUCCACCUCAUGAGUNAUUUGGCNACNUUGGAACNGAAAUCAU